This 440-nucleotide ribosomal RNA is filed under the name uncultured bacterium. RNAcentral describes it as "partial 16S ribosomal RNA". It matches the Rfam family "Bacterial small subunit ribosomal RNA", at positions 338 to 795 of the family's 1533-position model. The record is from RNAcentral.
CCUACGGGAGACAGCAGUAGGGAAUAUUGCUCAAUGGGGGAAACCCUGAAGCAGCAACGCCGCGUGGAGGAUGAAGGUUUUCGGAUUGUAAACUCCUUUUGUUAGAGAAGAUAAUGACGGUAUCUAACGAAUAAGCACCGGCUAACUCCGUGCCAGCAGCCGCGGUAAUACGGAGGGUGCAAGCGUUACUCGGAAUCACUGGGCGUAAAGAGCGCGUAGGCGGGUAAGCAAGUCAGAUGUGAAAUCCUAUGGCUUAACCAUAAAACUGCAGUUGAAACUGGUAUUCUUGAGUAUGGGAGAGGUAGGUGGAAUUCGUGGUGUAGGGGUAAAAUCCGUAGAGAUCAAGAAGAAUACUGAUUGCGAAGGCGACCUGCUAGACCAUAACUGACGCUGAUGCGCGAAAGCGUGGGGAGCAAACAGGAUUAGAUACCCCGGUAGUC